ACGAAGAAAAUAAUUAAAAUUUACAUAUAUAUACCGACCGAAUCAAGCUACACUGCCCGCGGGAAUAUGAAUACUGAGUACAUUCCGCUUCUUAACGUUUUUUGUUAGAAAUCGAUCUAUAGGCAGUGGCGGAGCCAUAUGGUGGAGAGGGGGGUCAGUUGACCCACAUGACUUCUACAAAUAAAUGAGUUUAGCUUAUGUAUAAUUGAUUUUGGCUGGAACAUUUGGUUGAAAUCCAUUAGUUUGACCCCCAUGACACUAGUUCGAACAUGUACUUUGACCCAUCUUAAUUUUUUUUUAGUAGUAUUAUAUAAUUAUUUUAAUAAAUGACCCCUACGAGAGAUGAUGCUGGCUCCGCCACUGUCUAUAGGUGAGUAACCAAAAUCUUGAAAGUAAUUAAAGGGCAUCUAAACCAAACUUGGUGACUUGGAGAGGUGUGUUAAGAAACUCCUAUUUAUUGACGAGUGUUUAUAUACCUUAAAAACGAUUGAAUGGUCAUGGUGAGAUAAGUGAGGCUAAUUAUACUCUUAUUUCAACCCGAUUUGAGUGAAUUAUAAAAAUAUUUAUUUUUCUUCUCUUCUGAUACCUACUUGAUCCUCUGAUCUCUCUCUCCUUUCACUUUUGGCGAAUUAUCUUCGUUCGUUCUCUAUGAGUUUUGGGGGUGGUCGCACUUAGGGGAAUUGUGGAACCCUUUCCGUUCUAGACUUGGGAAACUUUUGGUAAUCUUGUCGCAGAGCCUUUUAACCAUAUUAGGUUUAUAGGGUUUCUUUUACGGAUUUGAUGAUCCCACAUUAGGCUCCUUUAGCAAUUCCUCUCUUGGAUUGAUGUACGUAAAAUUGAUUAUUACAUAUAAAUAUUGUUAAUAAGAUGAGAAGUUAAUUUUUGUUUUUUUAUAUAUGUAUAAUUUUUUUUUUUAAGAUAGUUCAAGUGUUAUACACUUUUAUCCUUAAAAAUGAUUGGACGCUUUUGGAAAAAAAAAGUUAUUGUUUUCUUAAAAAUAUUUUUAAUCGCCAAAUGCACAGAACUAACAGUACGUGGGAUUCAUGGAACAAGACGAUGAUGAUUGUCGUAUCAUGAAG
RNAcentral lists this long non-coding RNA (1079 nucleotides) under Brassica rapa (field mustard). RNAcentral describes it as "long non-coding RNA (BRAP_LNC005527)". The record is from RNAcentral. Lineage: Eukaryota; Viridiplantae; Streptophyta; Magnoliopsida; Brassicales; Brassicaceae.